AUCCUGGCUCAGGGAUGAACGCUAGCUACAGGCUUAACACAUGCAAGUCGAGGGGCAGCAUGAACUUAGCUUGCUAAGUUUGAUGGCGACCGGCGCACGGGUGAGUAACACGUAUCCAACCUUCCGUUUACUCAGGGAUAGCCUUUCGAAAGAAAGAUUAAUACCUGAUGGUAUGAUGAGAUUGCAUGAUAGCAUCAUUAAAGAUUUAUCGGUGUACGAUGGGGAUGCGUUCCAUUAGGUAGUAGGCGGGGUAACGGCCCACCUAGCCUACGAUGGAUAGGGGGUUCUGAGAGGAAGGUCCCCCACAUUGGAACUGAGACACGGUCCAAACUCCUACGGGAGGCAGCAGUGAGGAAUAUUGGUCAAUGGGCGAGAGCCUGAACCAGCCAAGUAGCGUGAAGGAUGACUGCCCUAUGGGUUGUAAACUUCUUUUAUACGGGAAUAAAGUUAGCCACGUGUGGUUUUUGUAUGUACCGUAUGAAUAAGGAUCGGCUAACUCCGUG
This 503-nucleotide ribosomal RNA is filed under the name uncultured bacterium. Its description in RNAcentral is "bacterial SSU rRNA". It matches the Rfam family "Bacterial small subunit ribosomal RNA", at positions 16 to 507 of the family's 1533-position model. The record is from RNAcentral.